This 73-nucleotide transfer RNA is filed under the name Camelus bactrianus (Bactrian camel). It matches the Rfam family "tRNA". From Rfam's summary of the family: Transfer RNA (tRNA) molecules are approximately 80 nucleotides in length. Lineage: Eukaryota; Metazoa; Chordata; Mammalia; Artiodactyla; Camelidae. RNAcentral also lists the same sequence under 2 other names. The record is from Rfam by way of RNAcentral.
GAGGGUACAGCUCAAGUGGUAGAGCGCACGCCUAGCAUGCCCAAGAUCCUGGGUUCAAUCCCCAGUACCUCCU